GUAUUUCUGACUCCAUGAGAUAAGCAUGCAUACAUACAGAAAUUAUUAAGCAAGUGGAUCUUCAAGCUUUCACUGUACAAAUGGUUCUGGAAUACAUUUGUGCACAAUGUUCUUUUCAAGUCUGAGAGAGAUCAGGAGGACCUUUUUAAAAAACAUCUGACAGUUGUUGAGAAUGAAAAUAUCUAAGGCUUUUCUUCAUAUAUGUGCGACCACCACUUAGGAAAAAAAAAAGAUACUGCUUAAAGGUAAUACUUCACAUUAAAGGCCGGGGCCAGAAAGUCUGGUAAGAGAGAAGAAUUUUCAGUGGGAAGUCCAGUCAGUGGAUUAUUUAUAAUUGAACUGGUUUAAAACUCAGUAAAACAGGAAUAGGAACUCGUCUGCGUUAGAUAACCUAGCAGGCCUUCCUUAUGAAAUUUCUAUGAUGUGUUAUAGAAUGUUUUGGUUUGGUGACUGAAGAACUCAGACGAGCAAUUCUUACAGAACUGGUUUAAAAAAAAAAUUACGUCAAAUCUGCAUUUAAUAUGAAUGGCUUUGAGACUUCUCUGUACUGACAAGUUUGACAGUAUAUAGUUUUGGCAUUAAAUAGUACUUCUUUACAGUAUUGUUCUAUACUAACUUUUAAUUUCUCCAGCCUAAAUAUAUGUGUAUUGUCUUUUCCUACAGGGGUUUGUUUCUGCCAAUGCUUAAAUGUAAGCUUGUUAGAUGAUUAUUAUUUUAGUGCCUGUGACAAGAAACAUGAGGUGCAACAAGAUUUAUGUUUGAGUUUUAUUUACCUUCUAAUGAAAAUGUCCUUGUGCUAUCCUACAGAGAAAGAAAGCUGAAAUUGCUCUUUAUAUUCUCUAAAAUCAAUGCCAAAUGCUCAUCUAAGGUAGCUGAGAUUUCUGUAUCUAUGUUAUUGCUAAAUCAUCCACUUCACUGGUCUACUGUCUUAACAAAGGAUGCUGGAUCCAACCUUGAGAACCUUCCAGAUGGACUGCUGCCUUUUACUUGAAAAAGAGAGACAAAGAUGAAGUGGCUGUGAAUGUCACUGUGCCCCAUCAGUGAAGUCUGUAAAGGAGACUCAGCUCCAUGUGGUUGAAGAUGUGCAUAACCCCAUAACUGUCAGUAGGACAGUAUCCUGUUGGUGGGGAAUGGAAAAUUGGAGCCCUGGUAGAAAGAGUGGUGACUCAGGAGUGGAGGGACAAAGUGUAAGCAAGUGCUGGAAUCUCCCUGAGUUUAACUACAACUAUGAAACACUGUUUAAAAUGUGUUUUCUUUUUCUAUAGCAAGAUUAAUUGAAAAAGUUUAAGCGUUUCGAAAUCAUAUUGCUUGCCUCAGGAAUCUGAAAUAGUAAUGGUGUGUCUUUUCAUAGUUAUUUCAAAUUGCUCGUGUAUGUGUUAGCUGACAUUGGCAUAAGUAAAUUGUUUCUCUGUGGUGUUUCAUCUUCUUGGUUGUUUGGAAUUCAGCUUAAUUCUCAAUUUGUCUGCUUUAUGCAGGCAUCUGUAUCAGCAUGAAGCUAUUCACAUGCACUUCCUCCCUUUCUGUGUGACACACUUCCAUAUGUGGAUUCACAUUUAACUAAUAUACACAGAUAAUUUCUUGUACCCUGUAGCUCUAUUGACUAUACUAUUGAUCCUGUACUGUCAUUUAGAGUUAGGGUUUUUAUCUGUUCUUAUAUCCUUCUGUCAGAGAUAAUACAAUAUUAUAAGGAUGCACUGUCUGAUUUAGCAGAGAGAUUUAACAGAGCAAGGCUGUUAUGAUAUUUACAUGACCUAAUUAUUUUACUACUAUUAGUGAUUUUCUGCUAACGACUCCGUCUUGUUUUUAUCUUCACCAACUGCUUUAAUAAAGUAUUCAUUAUAUAUCGCGUUGCCA
This is a long non-coding RNA of Numida meleagris (helmeted guineafowl), 1854 nucleotides long. NCBI's taxonomy places the organism in Eukaryota, Metazoa, Chordata, Aves, Galliformes, Numididae. The record is from Ensembl.